Molecule: ribosomal RNA, 984 nt
Filed under: Microbacterium paraoxydans
Lineage: Bacteria; Bacillati; Actinomycetota; Actinomycetes; Micrococcales; Microbacteriaceae
Description: bacterial SSU rRNA
Rfam family: Bacterial small subunit ribosomal RNA
Source: RNAcentral
GUACCUGCAGAAAAAGCGCCGGCUAACUACGUGCCAGCAGCCGCGGUAAUACGUAGGGCGCAAGCGUUAUCCGGAAUUAUUGGGCGUAAAGAGCUCGUAGGCGGUUUGUCGCGUCUGCUGUGAAAUCCCGAGGCUCAACCUCGGGCCUGCAGUGGGUACGGGCAGACUAGAUUGCGGUAGGGGAGAUUGGAAUUCCUGGUGUAGCGGUGGAAUGCGCAGAUAUCAGGAGGAACACCGAUGGCGAAGGCAGAUCUCUGGGCCGUAACUGACGCUGAGGAGCGAAAGGGUGGGGAGCAAACAGGCUUAGAUACCCUGGUAGUCCACCCCGUAAACGUUGGGAACUAGUUGUGGGGUCCAUUCCACGGAUUCCGUGACGCAGCUAACGCAUUAAGUUCCCCGCCUGGGGAGUACGGCCGCAAGGCUAAAACUCAAAGGAAUUGACGGGGACCCGCACAAGCGGCGGAGCAUGCGGAUUAAUUCGAUGCAACGCGAAGAACCUUACCAAGGCUUGACAUAUACGAGAACGGGCCAGAAAUGGUCAACUCUUUGGACACUCGUAAACAGGUGGUGCAUGGUUGUCGUCAGCUCGUGUCGUGAGAUGUUGGGUUAAGUCCCGCAACGAGCGCAACCCUCGUUCUAUGUUGCCAGCACGUAAUGGUGGGAACUCAUGGGAUACUGCCGGGGUCAACUCGGAGGAAGGUGGGGAUGACGUCAAAUCAUCAUGCCCCUUAUGUCUUGGGCUUCACGCAUGCUACAAUGGCCGGUACAAAGGGCUGCAAUACCGUGAGGUGGAGCGAAUCCCAAAAAGCCGGUCCCAGUUCGGAUUGAGGUCUGCAACUCGACCUCAUGAAGUCGGAGUCGCUAGUAAUCGCAGAUCAGCAACGCUGCGGUGAAUACGUUCCCGGGUCUUGUACACACCGCCCGUCAAGUCAUGAAAGUCGGUAACACCUGAAGCCGGUGGCCUAACCCUUGUGGAGGGAGCUG